AUGCCAUCGACGUGUUCGACAGGUCUGCUUUAUUGGAGCUACGCCGAGCAGCCCACUUGCAGCCUGUCUUAAGACCAGCUUCUCGAGAUUGGAUCCGAUACCGCGCGGUCAGGCAACGGUAAUCAAGCCGUCCGUCAGAUGCUUCAUCCCUAGAGAUCAAGCAAACAACAACGACCCAGAGCGACAAGCUUCCUUCCUACCUCCAGUCCUUCCCCUAUAUCCGGCCGGCUAGGCCAUCCAUAGGAUCAGCAGAACUGGGCUCGGACGUUUCGGGCAGAACCCAAAACACCUGGAAGCCUCCAGAUCAAUCUUCUCUUCACAAUGUAUGCAGAACAGGCAUCAGGCCUUAGCCGAUGCAAAACUUUUAUUUCUUCAAAGGAUAUCUCUCAGUCUCGACACCAAGCGAAUUGGUGGAGCUGAGCGGGAUCGAACCGCUGACCCCCUGCUUGCAAAGCAGGUGCUCUCCCAGCUGAGCUACAGCCCCAACCAUCGCAAACACCUGACAGCAAACCGUCAGGAUCAGGUAAACCCAAACUAACCACCAUUCACAAAUGCAAAUGGUGGGCCCGGGAAGACUUGAACUUCCGACCCCACGCUUAUCAAGCGUGUGCUCUAACCAACUGAGCUACGGGCCCAUCUCUCUGCGCAGCGCCCAUUCCAAAGCAAAGCCUCGGAACAGAUCGCCCAUACAGGCCAGAGGCCGUCGCCGGUCGUCCGGCGCCCUCGCGGGACACGCAGCACCGAAGGUGCGAACAGCGCGUGAGCGCAAACCUAUGGUUCGAUAUCCUUUUGAAGAAAGAGAAACGUGGACGGCGAAAGCUCGCCAUACCAUCCGAAUGCCGAAGCAUUUCCGUGGCGUAUUGCGUUUCGAUGGUCACCUG
This 881-nucleotide transfer RNA is filed under the name Rhizobium sp. RNAcentral's name for it is "partial 16S-23S ribosomal RNA intergenic spacer". Lineage: Bacteria; Pseudomonadati; Pseudomonadota; Alphaproteobacteria; Hyphomicrobiales; Rhizobiaceae. The record is from RNAcentral.